This 856-nucleotide small RNA is filed under the name Pan troglodytes (chimpanzee). RNAcentral's name for it is "retained intron". The record is from RNAcentral. Lineage: Eukaryota; Metazoa; Chordata; Mammalia; Primates; Hominidae.
GUUAUAUCCUAGAACAGAAUCUAUAAUUGUUCUAGAAAUUAGGUAGAAAUCAUACUUUGAGCUUAUGUUGGAUUUUUUUCGCAUUUUAGUAAUAAAUAUCGAUCCAAUAAAUUAUUUUAAAUAAAUUUUAUAGUUCACAUAUACUAAAUAUCUUUUUUUGGUUCCCAUUAGAACUGAAAGACAGUAAGCAAAUUUUAUCUAUUACAAAGAACUUUAAAGUUGAGAAUAUUGGACCUCUUCCUAUAACUGUUUCGUCUCUGAAAAUUAAUGGGUAUAACUGCCAAGGUUAUGGAUUCGAGGUGCUGGAUUGUCAUCAGUUUUCCCUGGACCCAAACACAUCCCGCGAUAUCAGCAUUGUGUUCACUCCAGACUUUACCUCCUCCUGGGUAAUUCGGGACCUAAGUCUUGUAACCGCAGCGGACCUAGAAUUUCGCUUCACUCUCAAUGUGACUCUCCCUCAUCACCUGUUGCCCUUGUGUGCAGACGUGGUUCCAGGACCCAGCUGGGAGGAGUCAUUUUGGAGGCUCACGGUCUUCUUUGUCAGUUUGUCCCUGUUGGGUGUGAUUUUAAUAGCCUUCCAACAAGCACAGUACAUUCUCAUGGAAUUCAUGAAAACAAGACAGAGGCAAAAUGCUAGCUCCUCUUCACAGCAAAACAAUGGUCCUAUGGAUGUAAUCAGCCCCCAUUCUUGCAAGUAAGAAUUCUUAUAGUGUGGUUGGGAGCGGGGGUGGUUUCUCACUUUUGAUAUUACUCAUUUCUGAUUUAAUUUUAAGUAAACAUAAAUUUUGAUUCCACAUUUGCUUUCAUAAAAUUUUAAGUCAUUAUGUGAACAGCUGCCCCAUUAUUAUUAUGAGAU